GAUGAACGCUGGCGGCGUGCCUAAUACAUGCAAGUCGAGCGAACGGACGAGAAGCUUGCUCCUCUGUUGUUAGCGGCGGACGGGUGAGUAACACGUGGAUAAUCUACCUAUAAGACUGGGACAACUUCGGGAAACCGGUGCUAAUACCGCAUGAUAUUUUUAACCAUAUGGUUUAAAAGUGAAAGGUGGUCUUGCUUCAACUUAUAGAUGUAUCCGCGCUUCAUUAGCUAGUUGUUAAGGUAACGGCUUACCAAGGCAACGAUGCAUAGCCGACCUGAAAGGGUGAUCGGCCACACUGGAACUGAGACACGGUCCAGACUCCUACGGGAGGCAGCAGUAGGGAAUCUUGCGCAAUGAGCGAAAGCCUGACGGAGCAACGCCGCGUGGGUGAUGAAGGUCUUCGGAUCGUAAAACUCUGUUAUUGGGGAAGAACAUAUGUGUAAGUAACUGUGCACAUCGUGACGGUACCUAAUCAGAAAGCCACGGCUAACUACGUG
RNAcentral lists this ribosomal RNA (497 nucleotides) under uncultured bacterium. RNAcentral's name for it is "partial 16S ribosomal RNA". It matches the Rfam family "Bacterial small subunit ribosomal RNA", at positions 28 to 507 of the family's 1533-position model. The record is from RNAcentral.